Long non-coding RNA from Haliotis rubra (blacklip abalone), 166 nucleotides. RefSeq lists it as uncharacterized. The record is from RefSeq and is a predicted model, not a curated record. NCBI's taxonomy places the organism in Eukaryota, Metazoa, Mollusca, Gastropoda, Lepetellida, Haliotidae. The transcript is spliced from 2 exons.
AAACAGAGGACGUACGAUGCAAAGCGGAACACAAUGCUUCAACUCCAGAAAUUAUUCAAGUGACCCUGUGGAGAAUCGAAAGGUGGAAGGAGGUCCCGCCGCUUCCAAUUUAUUAAUUGCAGUGUGCAGAUAUUGUAAAAAAUAAAUAAAAAUAUUUUAAUGGUUC